UCCCUGGUGGCUUAACUGGUAAGAAUCUGCCUGCAAAGCAGGAGACCCAGGUUCGAUCCCUGGGUUGGAAA
RNAcentral lists this transfer RNA (71 nucleotides) under Ovis aries (sheep). It matches the Rfam family "tRNA". From Rfam's summary of the family: Transfer RNA (tRNA) molecules are approximately 80 nucleotides in length. Their secondary structure includes four short double-helical elements and three loops (D, anti-codon, and T loops). Further hydrogen bonds mediate the characteristic L-shaped molecular structure. tRNAs have two regions of fundamental functional importance: the anti-codon, which is responsible for specific mRNA codon recognition, and the 3' end, to which the tRNAs corresponding amino acid is attached (by aminoacyl-tRNA synthetases). tRNAs cope with the degeneracy of the genetic code in two manners: having more than one tRNA (with a specific anti-codon) for a particular amino acid; and 'wobble' base-pairing, i.e. permitting non-standard base-pairing at the 3rd anti-codon position. Lineage: Eukaryota; Metazoa; Chordata; Mammalia; Artiodactyla; Bovidae. The record is from Rfam by way of RNAcentral.